This 795-nucleotide ribosomal RNA is filed under the name Triticum aestivum (bread wheat). RNAcentral describes it as "partial small subunit ribosomal RNA". Lineage: Eukaryota; Viridiplantae; Streptophyta; Magnoliopsida; Poales; Poaceae. The record is from RNAcentral.
AUGGAAAAUAGCCUCUUGCAGUCGUUGUCAUCCGCGCACUGCAACAAUCUACGGAUGACCAACAUACGUCUCAAGGACAGCACCGACAAGAACAUGAUCCUGUAUGAUUGCAGGCAGGUGCAGGUGCACAACGUCUCCAUCACGUCGCCUAGCGACAGCCCCAACACCCAUGGGAUCAACAUGGGCUCCUCCAACCAUGUAAACAUCUCGUCUUGCUCUAUGCACACCGGUGAUGAUUGUGUGUCGAUUCUAUUUGGAACUACCGAUGUUAACAUCACUAACACCACCUGCAGGCCUGGCCAUGGCAUCAGCCUUAGAGGUGCUAGUGACGGCCCAGCGCUGGUGGAAAGAAUUACAGUAUCCAACUGUAGCUUCUUCAAUAGGACGGCCGUCCGGUUGCCUAUCGACAUCGACCAGUUUUAUUGCCCCCGGGAAACUAUCAAGAACGGGAUGGUGGUGUGGCCACAACGAACGCUUGAUUCAUCGACAUCCAGGGAAGGUCCUCAGAACGAGAGGCCAUCAAGAUCAUGUGCAGAAAGAGCGUGCCGUGCCGCGGCAUCUACCUUGAAAACAUUGACCUCUCUUGGGCCAACCACAGUGCCCCAACACAAGCUGUUGUUCAGAAUGCCCAUGGAAGCGUCACGGGCACGGGCCUGUCCUGAGAUUCCAGAGGCCCUCGGCGAAACGAAAAUCCGAGACGCCCAAAAGAUAGCGCCGCACAUAGGCACAGUAAUCCUGGAGCUUGGAGAUCAGGCGUCACACAUAGGCUUGGUCGUGGUCGUAGGGUUUGAGUGA